RNAcentral lists this ribosomal RNA (119 nucleotides) under Pteropus alecto (black flying fox). Lineage: Eukaryota; Metazoa; Chordata; Mammalia; Chiroptera; Pteropodidae. The record is from RNAcentral.
UUCUACGGCCAUGCCACCCUGAACAAGCCAGAUCCCGUCUGAUCUUAGAAGCUAAGCAGGGUUGGGCCUGGUUAGUACUUGGAUGGGAGACCACCUAGGAAGACGAGGUGCCAUAGGUA